UACUCUGUAGCUCAGUGGUUAGAGCAUCCGACCUGUGUUACGGAAGGUUAUGGGUUCAAAUCCUGUCGGGGACUCAG
Molecule: non-coding RNA, 77 nt
Organism: Desmophyllum pertusum
Lineage: Eukaryota; Metazoa; Cnidaria; Anthozoa; Scleractinia; Caryophylliidae
Source: the annotation of a GenBank genome assembly